RNAcentral lists this long non-coding RNA (23366 nucleotides) under Capsella rubella. RNAcentral's name for it is "long non-coding RNA (CRUB_LNC002368)". The record is from RNAcentral. Lineage: Eukaryota; Viridiplantae; Streptophyta; Magnoliopsida; Brassicales; Brassicaceae.
UUAAGCCAUGCUGCUCUCUUAUCCAAGGCUUGGCUGACCUUGAGGCUGCGGUCUGCCUUUGCACUGCUCUCAAGGUUAACAUUCUUGGAAUCAACCUUAACCUUCCCAUCGAUCUCAGCGUUCUCCUCAAUGUUUGCAGUAGAAAAGCUCCAAAGAACUUCCAGUGCGCUUAAGUUUAAAACAUAGCUACUAAAUAAAUGAUUCAUACAGUUUAUGAAUUUUUGAACCUAUUUUCUUAUCAAGCUAUAUUUUUCUUGUUGUAAUUUCCCCGUAUUGUUUAUGAUGAACGUACUCUCCCAUGCAAUAAUGGGUAAUGCAUGGGUUUGUGUGUGCAUGUACUUCUUUGCUUUGUUGUUCCUCCAUCUCUUCUUUAAUUUGUAAGUGUAUUUUUUGAAUUUGAUUAAUAAAAGUAUUAAUCGAUGUCGUUGUCUAUAUUGCAAUCUUCGGUGUCAGCAUUAAGACAUGCAUGUACUGAAGUACAUCCGACCAUUUUGACAAAAGGCAACAUACAGUAUUUUGGCAAGAAUUGUGUGGAAGUUCCUGAGAAUUAGAUUUUUGGUCAUGCACACGUGUAUUUAGGAGUAUUCAUAUUAAGAAGAAUAUACAAACAGUAUUCAGCGAUUAAUUAAUUCUUCAUCAAAAAGCCAUGCAUGGUCUACAGCGUCAAUAGCAACAUUAUUGAUAUGGUCUAUAAGAAGGUAACUUGAUAUUGGUGAUACCAUAAAAAGUUAUAAUUAAACUUUGUUAACAGGCCGGUCCAAUGUUUCCUUUUCUUGGAUGCCUUACACACAACUAAGAAACUAAGCGGGUUAAGUCAGCUCUCACAGUAAGAUCGAAUAGUACCAUUAUUGAUGGUCUUUUACACAAUUCUUAGCAUAAAAUUUUCUUAAAAAAUCACGAAGAAAAAUGGCCUAACUAAAUCCAAAAGCUGGUUAAACUUCAAAUAAAUAAGAGUAAAUAAAUUUUAGAAUACACAGAUUUUAUAUGAACGAUAUAUAGCUGUAGAGAGUUUGAAUUAUGAUCUUUCAUAUAUUUAUACAUGAUAUAUAUAUAUAUAUAUGUAUAGAUGUUAUAAUUUUUAUAAUCAAAAUUAAUCAUUGUUAUUUAAAGAAUGAGACAUUUAUUUUUCAAUGAGGGAUUUUUGACAUAAAUAAUGACUUCCUAACUAUAUAUCUUCACAAAAUUUCAUUAUAACUUUUUUUUAGCUCAAUGCAAUAAGAUCGGUUUCAUGUAGUUUUCAUUUUUAAAACUAAAAAAUCAUUUUCUUUCAUUUUUAACUUCUGCCCUGAUGAGAAUUCAAAAGACAUACCAAUACUCUAGAUAGUUUGUAUAUGUCAAUUAAACUUUUGGCCAGUUUGAAUUUUUAUGUGUUAACAAAUAUUAUGAAGUGUGAACUAUGUUUUUUCUGUAGCAAAAAAUAAUUAUGAAAACCUAAGCAUCAGAAUUUACGUGGUAUUAUCUUUGGACAUCCAUAUAUGUCGGGUCAACUUUCAAAAACAAAAAGAUACAGCAAAAGUUCAACUUUGAUCAUUGAUUUUAUGCCAUUACUAUAAGUCUAUAUGUCUGUAUGUAGUCUUUACAAUUAUAUUUUGUUUUAUUCCUUUCGUAAGAUCAUUUCCAAUAUCAUCUUAUUAUAUAUAAUUUUUUUAAUUCAAAAUAGAACAUAGAGUUAAUCUUUAAUGCACGACUCUAUAUAUUUACUCUAUAAUAGUGUAGCCGAAAGAUUUAAGAUGAAACAUGCAUAUAUUAAUCUUCUGUAAAUCAUAUGGUGACAUAUAAAUAAUUAUGUUCAUUAAGAGUUAACGUCGUGCCUAAGUGCUUUAAUUUUAAAAUAUUGUAUUCGUACAAACUUUAUUUAGAAAUACUAUUGCAUUGUCGCUAAUUAAAGAGAAAUAGUGAAAUACCUUAUAUUAAAAAAGUAUAAUAAGAAAUAAAGAAUAAAAUUGACCAAUCAAUUCUAUAGUAAAGAACGAUUUGGCAUGAUGAUUAUCAUAUUAUUACAAGCCUGUCGAAGGAAUAACUAAAUUCUCGAUCUCCCGUAUAGCUAUUACCCCUGAACCAUACAUUAGCAUGUUCGACCUUAUUUAUAUAUAAUCCGAGUAUAACAGAUGAUACCACUAAUACAGGAAACUAUAUGUUAUUUAUUCAGCAAAAUGAUUAAAAUAAUAUGAUCUCGCACAUAUAUAUCAGUCAAUAUGAAUCAUAGAAACUAAUAUACUGUCCGACAAAGAAAUAACGACGAUGAUCUUGUCGUUAUAACACCUUAAUCUAUCUAUAUAUAUAAAGUUAAUUUUUUCUCUCUUCUCCUUAAGCCACAUCAUCAUCCACCUCAUUUUAUUAUUUAAUUUUAAAAAUUAAUUAUACCAUUUUAUCAUUUAAUUUUAAUAUUUAAACCUAUGUAAAUAAGUUUUUCCAAAAUGAAUAUGAAAGGUCUUUUUAUAUAUUAUAUAUUAUAAAACUAAAAAAGAUAAUUGAUUAAGAGUUAAAAAAACUUACUAAUUAUCGAUUAUACUAACAAAUAUAAUGUAUAAUAUAAAUCCCACAUCAUCAUUCAUCUUAAUUUUUUAUAUUGAUUUAGAAUUACAACACUUUAGUUUUUAAUUUCUUUUCUACCUCAUAACUUAGCUUUUAUUUUAUUUUAUAUUCAAUAGUGGUUUUAAGAAAAUAAAUAAUAUAGUAAAAACAUUUAUGUCCAAAAUAAAUAAAACAAGUAUCUAUUUAUAAAGUAAUGAUCAAUUUUUUGAUUAAUGGGGCUAAAUAUAAAAACAAAAUACAAAGCAAGGAUAUUUAUACUAUACAGAUAGAUAUACCACUAAAUUGAUGUCAUCCGAAGCCACCUCAAACGAAAACACAACCGAUUUUAGGCAUAAGAAGUAGAAAAAAACUAAAAAGUAAAAUGAAAACACUUGGAUAAAUAAAUAAGUGGAUUCACCAGAAUAAUUUGGCCUACAAGAAUUGAAUGCUUUUGAAAUGUAAGGUUCUAACAGCUACUAUUUGACCUAAAUCAAAGUUAAACAAAUAAAAAUAAACAUUUCAUAUACUAAAUUAAUACCAAAACAACAGUAAAAACAAAAAAAAUAAACAAAAAACAAAGAAAAAUCAAACUAUAAAUUUUAAAAUAUAAAAUUUAAAAUAUAAAAAACAAUUAUAAAACUCCCGCGCGCAGCGCGGGUCAACAACUAGUAUACAUAUAAAGUUAGCUUUUUCUCUCUUCUCAUUCUCAUGAUGCCACCUAAGCAUCUACCUAAGCCACAUUUUGUUUUACAUUAAAAUAUAUUUUAAACAUUCAUUUAGUGCAUAUUUAUGCUACUUAUUUAAUUAAUAGAAAAUUAUAUAAAUAAAAAUAAAUUAUGUAAAUAAAUGAAAUGUUAAAUAAGAAAUACUUCCAUUUUUAUUAGUUAGUGGUAAUAAUAUAAUUCAACUUUCAUUUUAAAUUGAUCAUAGUUUAAAAUUUUAAAUGUGUUACUGAGUUUAAGAAUGUAAGUAAAUUUUAAAUUUAUGGUAGAAUAAAAACAACAUUUAUGUAAUUGUAUAUAUAAAAUUUUAAAGGGAAAAAGUAAAAUUGAAAGUGAAAUAUUAGUUUAUAACCUGAUCAAUAAGAAAAUGCUAUUAAUCCAAAUUUAAAUAUUAAAAGAUAAUAAUUCAAGAGAAAAUAACUAUAAUAUGUUUUGAAAAUCAAUAAAAAAUUAAAUAUCACAAUAUGAAUAAAAAAUUAACAAAAAAAUUAUAAACCUCCCGCGCGUAACGCGGGUCAACUGCUAGUAUAUGAUAUAAUUCUCUAACAAUUAUAUUACAUAAUUUAUUUGGAAAUUGCUAUCUUUCCAAAAAAUUUCUUUUUUUAAAUAAUCAAAGAGGUUUUGGGCCGAAACUCAUACAUCUUCUCAGGUCCAAAACCAAAGCAUAUUAUAUGGUUUCGUCCCAAGCGCUAAUCGAACCAGCGAUCUUCUAAGCGUUUGACAGAAAUCUUUACUAAUUGAUCUAUUACCAUUUGGUUAUCUUUUCAAAUUUGAAAAGUUGCAAUUUGUAAGUACUCGGAUAUUUUUAAGUUCGAUAAAUUCAGAUUAUAUAUAUCUUUUUAAGUUAGACAAGAACUUUUUUUUUGUUUUUUUCACACUAUGAAGCUGACCUUUUGAUGCCAAAUUUUUGCUAAACCCAUCUAAACAAUACUAACAGUGAAAUAUUUUUAACCAAAAGAAAAAUCGAAACUUGUCUAUCUGUCCAUCUUGUAACCUCUGUUAUACGGAAUGAUUUGAUAAGUCCAACAAUUUGAGAUUCUUAAAAAUAUGAUCUACUAAAAAUGAAGUCAGAAACUUUGUCUUUGUGUGAUAUUAGUCUGCCUCGUGACAAAGGAUAAGAUAUUUUCAAAUGGACAAGCGUACGUGAAGGAAUAAGGAAAGUCAUUUCAAAUUUUAGUCUUCAGUAACAAAUGUUUAUUAAUAUAAUUACGAGAAAACAGAAUCCUAGAAGUCUAGAACAUAUAUUCAUGCUAAUGUAGGUAAUAUAUUUGAUUAUAACUUGGUGCUAUACUACUAACUAUGGAAUAAUUGUUCUUUACUAACGCAAAAAUAAUAGUGUGUAAUCCAAAAAGUUACAAAAUCGAAUGACAACUGAUCAUACAUAUAAAAAUUCACACAAAAAUAAAAACAUGUUGGGUUCAAUUCUUUAACCCAAACCAACUUUUCCAUUAGUAUGAUAUUGUCUGCUUUAAGCCUAUAACUCAAGGCCGCACGGAUUUGUUAGACUCCUUCCCAAAAAGUCUCAUACUAAUUGGAGUUGGAGUCGACUUAUAUAUUAGAAACUUCUCUUUCUAAUCUUCCGAUAUGGGAUAUUGGUUUGUAUUCCAAUAAAGCAUACAUAAAAAAAAUUAGUCUACUACAUCUAAGUUAUUAAAUAAUAUUGGAACCAUGUACUCUUCGAGAUUACCAGCUAAUUUGAUCAAUGACAGUUAAAUUUUUAAAAAUUAAAUCGUAUAUAUAAGAAAAUUAGUCUAUUAAUUAAUCCACUAUCAAAGACAAAUUAUCAAUUAAACCUUCACAAUUCUCUCCUAAAGAUAGACACUAAAAACUUAAUAUUUCUCUCCACCCAUCUCAAACAAACUUAAACGCAAUACUACUUCGUGAGCCUUUUCAACUGCAAAAACAAAUGGCUCCCUCUCCCUUGUACUCUUCUUUUCUCUCAAAUUAUAAAUGCCAUUAAGAAAAAACUUUGCUUUUUGAAUAUGAUCUUUUAAGAAUUAGCAUUGCAUGCCUCUAUCAUUACCACCACAUUAUAUAUAUAUAUAUAUAUAUAUAUAUAUAUAUAUAUAUUACCUGGUUUCUACUAUUUAAACCAUAUCAAUUUCUUUCAUUUUUCAUGUUUUUUAUAGAUAUAUUAUGAAAAUAAUGAAAGAAAAAGUCAUUAUGAUGGCAUGAUGGUUAUCACUAGUACACGAAACUAUAUAUAUGUUAUUUAUUUAGCAAAGGGAUAAAAGUAGUAUGAUCUCGCACAAUAUAAAUUAAUCAUAUACACGUAUUAUCCAAAAGUGAAAUAACAAUUAUUUUAUUCAUAUUGGACAUUACUAAAUUUCCUCUAAAAUUUGCAAAGUUAAUGGAGUAGUAAUUAGAAUAGUUAUAUGAAGUAUUAUUUAGGCGAAUUUGGAAAUUUUUUGUUUUUUUUUCACACUAAUAAAAGUCUACGUUGAAAUCAUACAAUUAAGACUACUAAUUAAUAGAAAUAUCUCAUGUGCAAAACAAAAUCCAAACUAGUCUAUCUGUCCUUCUAGAGUUAUACGGAAUGGUUUAAUAAGUCCGACCAUUUGAGAAUACUCAUACAACUAUCACAUGGAAAUUAAUUAGUAAUAAACUUUGUCUUCGUCUGAGAGAUUAUCUGUAAACCAAAUGAUGUUUAAGAAAUAAUCCAAACUAGUCUAUCUGUCAAUCUAGUAGUUAUAGAAGUGUGUCUGUAUUCUAAUUAGAAAUUGCACAUGUUAUGAAAUAACAGAUAACCAAAUGUAUAAUUCUUUAAGGCUUUUAGAUAGUAAUUUAUCUCAUAUCCUCAUUGCAAAAUAGCCAGAAAUUUAAUUUUUAUUUUUAUAUACUUUUAAUAAUCGUAAACAUAAAAUAAUAUAUUUCUUUUUAAUACUUUUAAUAAUCGUGAAGGCUCGUAGAUAGUUUUAUAUAACUCGAAAACUUGGGAUUUGUCUAGUUAAUUAGUUUAUAGGAUCGACUUAACCACCAAAUUUCUUUUAUGGAUGAUAUAUUGUGUUUUUAUCGGUUUUAAGUCUUUUUUUUCUUUUUCAUUUUAUAACUUUUAUUGAGUCAAAGUGUCUUUUUAGAGUCUUUUAGUCCAUUAUAGAGUUCUUACAGGUUUUAGGUUGCUUUGGAAUAAAACGAGCUGUUUUGGGAAGCAAACACACAUUUGGAGAUGCAGAUUCAUGUAGAAGUGUCAGAUGUUUGGGAUCAGAUGAACAACUUUCCACCGUUAGAUCUUUUUCAUAUUUUGACACAAGAUGAAGACAGAUGUUAGCUUUCAUUUUCAAGUGACUUGAAAGAAAUCUAACGGUUAAUUCAAGAGUUACACCCGAUUUCGUGAAUACAGGUCAUUCUGACGAGUAACUGAAGUAGAUGCAGAUUGAAACCUGAGAGUCCCAGACCGAUCGGUCUACACCCGGGACCGAUCGAUCCCUUACCUCUGACGUAUUUUUGGGCCCUUAUUCGAUCCGAAACAUACCCAACUCGUCUCCUAUUGUUUUUAAACCCUAGGCUCGACUUUUGAGCAGCUAUCCUUCAUAUUUUUGAGUUCUAAACAUUGUUCUUUGCUUUCUAAACAAUUUUGGGAGAAGAAUCAAUCAUCUUGACACUUGGAGAAGAUUUCUAAACCCUUUCUUAUUAUAUUUGCAAUUUCAUCAUGUUUUCUUUCAUAUCUAUUUGCUUUGUUUCAAUUGCUAUGUCUGAGUAGUCUCUUAAUUGGGUUUUAGGGUUUCAAGUAGGAGAAUUCAAUGAUUUGAUAGAUUGGAUGUAUUAGGGAAUUCUUAAUCUUUAGGUUCUUCAAUUUACAUGUUCAAAAUGCUAGAAUAGGAUUGAUCACCCUGUUUUAGAACUUAGGCUUUUAUGUGUUUCAGAGAUGUUCAAUAAAAUGCCUGAAUGAAUGUAAAUUGAGCAUUGUAUUUCUAACCUGCGAGAGUUGAUGUUAGAACGCUUUGUGAACCAAAUGAACCUGUUUGAUAAUGCAAAUUUGGCUAGCAAAUUACAAAUGAGAGUUUAGUAAUUGAAUAGUUAAAAUUUAUUGACUAAUGUCUUGAGAGAGAAUUAGUCUAAACUUCUGUUCAUGUUCAAGAACGGUUCUUCAUGUUUGAAUUCCUUAUUGCUUUUAUUUGUUAUUCAUUGAUUCUCUGAAAUUACCCUGCAGCCCAAUAUCUUUAAUUCAUAAGUUUAAUCUCUUUAUUUGCAUUUUUAUUUACAAAAACUGAAAACCGAACAACAAGUCUUUUCCGCUUUAGCUGAUAACGAGUCUCGAAAGUCUUUAGUGUACAAUUGCUCCUUGUGAUCGAUCCCGCAUAUACUUUACUUCGGUUAAGUUAUCGGGUUAAAUACUCGAGUAAUCAAUGGAUAUACAAAGUAGAACCAAUAUACUCUUAGCGAUUACCAGCUAAUCUGAAUUAACCAUGGAAAUUAUUAAGUGUUCUUUAAUAAUCAAAUCAUAUCUAUAAAAAAUGAGUCAACUAAUCCACCUAUUAAAGACAAAUUAUCAAUUAAACAUUCACAUUUCUCUCCUAACGAAAACCCUAUAAAUACACACUAAAAGCUUUACAUUUCUCUCCACCCAUCUCAAACAAACUUAAAAGCACUACUACUUCUUGAGCCUUUUAAACUGCACAAACAAAUGGCUCCAAGAAUCUCCCUUGCACUCUUCCUUUCCCUUAACCUCCUCUUCUUCACUUACACCUCUGCGACCACUCCGAGCAGAAGGACUUGUCCUAAAGAUUCCCUAAAACUCGGUGUUUGCGCCAAUGUGCUCAAGCUUGUGGACCUAAAAUUGGGAAACCCACCUGUGAAGCCAUGCUGCUCUCUCAUCCAAGGCUUGGCUGACCUUGAGGCUGCUGUCUGCCUCUGCACUGUGCUCAAGGCUAACGUUCUUGGAAUCAACCUUAACCUUCCUAUCGAUCUCAGCGUUCUCCUCAAUGUUUGCAGUAGAAAAGCUCCAAAGAACUUCCAGUGCGCCUAAGUGAAAAAACUUAUGGCAUACCUACAUACAUUUGAUGAAGUCUCGAACUUAUAUUCUUUUCCUCAUGUUUUACUUUAAGGUGAUCUAUUUUUUUGUAUUUUUCUUGACUUUUUAAAAAUGAACGUACGUUUUCAUGUAAUAAUGGAUACUGCAUGGGUUUGUCCUGUCUGUGCAUGUAAUCGGCAAAUUUGUACUCCUUUACUUCAUUGUUCCUUUAUAUCCUCUUUGCAACUGUAUUCUUCGAAUUUUACUUAUAAAUUCAUUUCUCACUAUGAUUAAAUUUUAACUUAACAAUUAAAAAUCCCCACUGAACACCAAAUUAUAUUUUCACCAAAACACUACAAUAUUAAUUCAAGGCUCUUCGAAAGAGUCCGCUCCGGUUUUCUACCAUUGUCAACUCCGUGUGGUGGCCCUCUGGGGAGAAGUCCACUCUGAAACACUUCGGUGUGUUUCUACCGCGACUGACCGGAUCAGUCGAUAGGAUUUAUAUAUAAAAAAAAAUUCAUAAUCAAUGUCAAUUUUUAACAAGUAAGCUGAUCAUUGUUUUCAUAUACUAUUUUAGGAGUCAUUUGUCUUUCAAUAUAGAAAUUUCAAAACAAAUGACUUUCUAACUAUUUAUCUAGAAUAAAUUUCAUUAUGAAAUUAAGUUUUUCUCAGUAUGAUCUAUCAAUUUCACGCAAUAAAAAUUUCACUUGUAAUCGAUCCGAUAAACAUUGGGUCAGCAAAAUUUUGGUUUGAUUUCUGGUAGCAUGUGUCAAGCUAUAUGAAAAUGAAUGGAUUUCCGACUCAAAAACAAUUGACAGUCAGUAAAUUAACUGUAUAUUUCCCUAUAUAUUACAUUAGGUUUUUUAUAUUUUUUCCUUUACUUUCAAUCUUGAUUUGAUUAACCUGCUGAGAUAUUGAAAAGAACAUACUUUUUUCUUUUCUUUUUUUAACUUAAAAAAAAAAUCUGAUCCAAUAAGAAUUAAAAGAACACCACUAGUUGAAUAUACGAUUUGAAGAUAAUUCAUAUUUUAUUGUUGUAUAUGUAAAAUUUAAAGUUUACUCUUUAAGGUUUAGGGUUUAAAAUUGUAACAAGUUUGAAUUAUGAUUUUUUUAAAGAAUAUAAUGAAGUGUGAAGCGUGUUUUUUUGGUAACAUAUAAUAUUCUAUGAAAACCUAAACAUUAUGGCUAUUUGGUAUACAGUACUAUUGCUUAUGUGAAUAAAAUCUUUGCACAUCCCAAAAGUCUCGGGUCAACUUUCAAAAAGAAAAAUAUACAGCAAAAUUUCAACUUUGUAUUCACUUAAUUAUUGUUUAGAAAUUAUGAUCAUUGAUUUUAUUAAUUCCAGUAAUACAGAAGUAUGUUUUUAUUCCUUUUUCUAAAAGAAAAUGUAUAAUAGUUACUUUUGAUGUGUUAACCACCUAUAGUCUCCUAUCAAUUUCUUUAAUUCAUUCUUCACGUCUUUAUAGAUAUACUAUGUAAUUAAUAAAAGAAAAUUUCAUUAUUGUAAAAAAAAAAAGGAAUAGAUUUUGGCAUGAUGAUUAUCACGAAACUAUAUAUAUGUUAUUUAUUUAGCAAAGUGAUAAAAUAGUAUGAUCUCGCAUAUACAUCUUAUUCGAUAUAACUCAUAUAGACGUAUUAUCCGAAAGAUAAAAUAACAAAUUUUUUUUUCAUAUUGAACAUUACUUUCCUUUUAAAUUUGGAGUAAAGUAUUAUUUUGACGAAUUUGGAUUUUUUUUUUUCACACUAUCAAAUUGAACUUUGAUGUCAUAUUUGUGCUAAACCAUCUAAUAAAGUCUAACGCUGAGACUACCAAUACAAAUAUCACAUGUCGUCAAAACAAAUUCCAAACAAGUCCCAUCUGUUCUUCAAAUUAUACGGAAUGAUUUCAUAAGUCCAACCAUUUGAGACUACUAAAUACAAUUAUAACAUGGUAAUGAAGUAAUAAACUUUGUCUUCGUUUGAGAUAUUAUCUGUAAGCUAAAUGAUGUUUUAGAAACAAUCCAAACUAGUCUAUCUGCUCAAUCUAGUAAUAAUAGAAGUGUGUAUGUAUUCUUAUUAGAACUUGCACAUGUUUUGAAAUAAUACAUAACCAAAUGUAUGAUGAUGUCUAAGGCUUUUAGAUGGUAAUUAUAUUCUCAUUGAAAAAUAACCAGAAAGAAAAAGAAAAUAUUAUUUUUAUAUGCUUUUAAUAAAAUAUAAAAUAGAUAAAUAUUUUUUAUACUUUUAAUAAUAAUCGUGAAGGCUCGAAAAUAGAUCGAUAUAAUUUGAAAACUUGGGAGUUUUCUGGUUAAUUAGUUUAGAAGAUCGACUUCAACCACCAAAUUUCUUUUAUGGAUACACAAAUUAGAACAAUAUACUCAUUACCAGCUAAUUUGACCAAUGAGAAUUAAGAGUUCUUUAAUAAUCAAAUCAUAUCUAUAAAAAAUGAGUCAACUAAUCCCUUAUUGAGACAAAUUAUCAAUUAAACCUUUACAUUUCUCUCUUAUUGAAAAUUCUAUAAAUAGACGCUAAAGCUUAACAUAUCUCUCCACCCAUCUCAAACAAACUUAAAAGCACUACUACUUCUUGAGCCUUUUAAACUGCACAAACAAAUGGCUCCAAGAAUCUCCCUUGCACUCUUCCUUUCCCUCAACCUCCUCUUCUUCACUUACACCUCUGCGACCACCCCGAGCAGAAGGACUUGUCCUAAAGAUUCCCUACAACUCGGUGUUUGCGCCAAUGUACUCAAGCUAGUGGACCUAACAUUGGGAAACCCACCAGUAAAGCCAUGCUGCUCUCUCAUCCAAGGCUUGGCUGACCUUGAGGCUGCUGUCUGCCUCUGCACUGUGCUCAAGGCUAACGUUCUUGGAAUCAACCUUAACCUUCCCAUUGAUCUAAGCGUUCUCCUCAAUGUUUGCAGUAGAAAAGCUCCAAAGAACUUCCAGUGCGCGUAAGUGAAAAAACUUAUGGCAUACCUAUAAAAUAAACGAAUCAUACGUUUAAUGAAGUCUCGAACUUAUAGUCUUUUCUUCAUGUUUUAUGUUAAGGUGAUCUAUUUUUUGUAUUUUUCUUGAAUUGUUAACGUACGUUUUCAUGUAAUAAUGGAUACUACAUGGGUUUGUCUAUGCAUGUAAUCGGCAAAUUUGUUCUCCUUUGCUUCAUUGUUCCUUUUUAUCUUCUUUGUAACUGUAUUUUUCGAAUUUUACUUAUAAAUUCACUUCUCACUAUGAUUAAAUUUUAACUUAAACCUCUUUAACCAAUCAAACCUUAGCUUUCUCCUCAUCGUUUGCGGCAGAAAGGCUACACGUGGGUUCCAAUGCCCUUAUUUAAAAAAGUUAAUUUCUAAAACUCUUGAAACUGUUUACAAAAAUGUAAACUGUUUGCCGUAAGACCUCACAAUAAUAAGAUCGGCGGAUUAAACCCAAAAGCCUGUUAAAUCUUAAACAAACAGCGACUUGAAUGGUUUUUUUAAUAAGAAAACCAUGUUUUAGAUGUGAAUUAUAUAUAUAGCAGUCGCAAUUUGGGAUUAUCUGUGUUAUAUUUACAAAUAUGUUUAGGUUUCGUAAGAUUCAUAAUCAUUAAUCAAUGUCAAUUCGUAACGAGUAAACUGAUCACUGUUUUCAUAUACUACUUUUUAUACCAAAAUUGAAAAGCACAUGUAUUAAACGUCCAAAAAAUCAUAGAUGGCGAAUUUUUAGUUUUUUUCUCUUUUUUCUUUUGUUUUUGAUUUAUUUUAAAAUUCUGACCCAAUAAGAAUUAAAAGAACAUUAAUAGUUGUAUAUACUUUGAAUAUAAUUCAUAUUCUGUUGUUGUAUAUGUGAAAUUUAACGUUUAUUCUUUAGGUUUCAGGGUUUAAAAUAUUGUAACGAAUUUGAAUUAUGAUUUGUUAACGAAUAUUAUCAAGUGUGAAGCAUGUUUUUUUGGUAACAUAUUAAUAUCCUAUGAAAACCUAAGCAUCAUGGUUAUUUGGUAUAAAGAUUUGCUUAUGUUAAUCAAAUCUUUGCACAUCCCAAAAAUAUCGGGUCAACUUUCAAAAAGAAAAAGAUUCAGCAAAAGUUUAACAUUUUUUUUCAGUUCAUUAUUGUUUAUAUCAUUGAUUUUAUUCCAUUAUUACCUGUAUGUAUUUAGUCUUACACAGGUAUGUUUUUAUUCCUUUUUCUAAGAAAACUAGGCUCGGACCCGCGCUACAGCGCGGGGGAAAAGUGUCGGUUUUUGUUUUUUUUCCGAAUUACGUAAACUUUUAACUGUUAAAAUGGAUUGUUGGUGUUGAAUUUGGCAAGUAUGAGAAUAUGUACUAUCGUGGAUGUGUACUUUGUCACGUUUGCUAGGUUUAAAUCCGCGCUACAACACGAAAGAAUAUUUUCAAGUUUAUUUUAUUUUAACGUGUUUUGUCGUAUGUGUUAUUAUUUCGUUCAUUUUAGUAUCAACAAUUAUUAUUUCGAAAUGUAUAUUUGGUUUCAAUUCUUUGAGAAAAGUGUGUUUUCGGAAAUUAAAUAUAAUAUUUUUAUAAACUAAAUAAAAGAACGUUUAUUAAACAAAUUGUAUAUUCACAAUGUAUGUGGUGACUAACUAACCAAUCAGCAAAAACCCGUGUAUUUAAAAAAAAAAUCAUGAAAAUAUAUGAUAUUGAAAAAUCAUGAAAAUCAUGUAUAUACAUGUAUCACACAAGAACAUAUGAGUUUGAAAGAUUUGUAUAUACUUGUAUCCUAUAAAAAUAAAAUAAAAAUAUUAUUAUACUUCAUAUUGUAUAAGAGACCAUAAUAUUCUUGUUAUUAACAUAUUAAAAUAUUUAGAACAUUUUAAGGAAAAUUCAGAAUUUAAGGUAAUUUAUUUAAACUAACUUAUGGAAUAUAUUCUUUAUGACUGAUUUUGUAUUAGUAGUGAUUCGAUGAUUAAUAAUUACAAAGAUAAAAUAUUGUUAUUAAAGUAUUUUUAGUUAAUUAUAAUAAUUAUCCUAAAAUUUAAUUAUUUUUUUUGUAUCCAAAAUAUUUCAUAUUACUCAUUGAAAUAUAUUAAUGAUUGUAAAUUAUUUUUUUUUUCAAAAUUCAAAUAUAACCAUUUCUAGAUAUAUAUGGAUCUCUAUAAUUUUGCAUUAAUUAUGCUAUUGAUAAAAUAUUAUUCUUUUUUUAUAGGUAAUUCAAAUUGAUAAAGAUUAAAAUAAUUUUGAAACCUCUUUUCAUAUACUAUUUUUUUAUUCUGAUUAAAUCUUUUAUUUAACUAUUAGGGAAUGUAAAAAAUAAUAAUAANNNNNNNNNNNNNNNNNNNNNNNNNNNNNNNNNNNNNNNNNNNNNNNNNNNNNNNNNNNNNNNNNNNNNNNNNNNNNNNNNNNNNNNNNNNNNNNNNNNNNNNNNNNNNNNNNNNNNNNNNNNNUUUUAUUGAUUAUAUUACCAUUAUUUAUGUAUUUUAGAUGCAUUUUUAUAUUUGUUAUACCAAAUAUUUUUAAAUUAUAUUUUUCUAUAUAUCAAAUAUUUAAACUUAUAAAAAAUUAUAAUUUUUUUUGUUUUUUCAUAUAAGAAAUUAAUAUAAUAAUUAGAAUAUUUUUAAAAGAUUGAGAUCUUUAUAUUCAUAAACAAAUUUUCCUUAUAAGACAUAUUUUUAUAUUUAGCAUUAAUAUAGUUUCCUAAAUGAUAGGAAUCUGGUGUAUAUUAUUGAAAUAUUUGAAAAAUAUUUAACAAAAAAUUUGGCAAGUAUCCGAUUGAAACCCGGAAUAUUUUGAAAAACCCGACCCGAAUCCCUUGUGUACUUCUCUUUUACUAUAGUAGGGAUGUCUAAUAGUUACUUUCGUUUUGUUAAUUACCUAUAAUCUAUGGUGACAUAAAAAAAUAUUAUAUACGUUCAUUAAGAAAUAACUUUGCCUAUUGAGAAUUAGCUUUGCCUGGUUUAAACUAUUGAUUUUUAGACGAAUUUGAUUUUUUUUUUUUUCACACUAUCAAAUUGAACGUUAUAGGAUCGAUAUGAUUCGAGAACAUUGGAGUUGUCUAGUUAAUUAUUUCAUUUUAUAGGAUCGACUUUUACAGAUGACCAGCUAAUUAAAACAAUGACAAUUAAUUGUUUUCUAAUAAUCAAAUCAUAUCUAAAAAAAAUUAGUCAAAUAAUCCACCUAUUAAAGACAAAUUAUAAAUUAAACCUUCACAUUUCUCUCCUAAUGAAACCCCUAUAAAUAUACACGAAACAGUUAACAUCACCCAUCUCAACGAAACUUAAACGCACUACUAGUAAACUUCUCGAGCCUAUUCCUCUCCACAAUUACAAAUGGCUCCAAGAACCUCCCUUGCACUCUUCCUUUCUCUCAACCUUCUCUUCUUCACUUACGCCUCUGCGGCUUGUCCUAGAGACUCCCUACAGCUCGGUGUUUGCGCCAAAGUACUCUUGCAAGUGGAGCUAAAAUUUAACACAUCUUUAAAGCCAUGCUGCUCUCUCAUCCAAGGCUUGGCUGACCUUGAUGCUGCUGUAUGCCUCUGUGAUGUGCUCAAGACUAAGGUUCUUGGAACACCUCUUAACCUUCCCCUCAAUCCCAGCGUACUCCUCAGUGUUUGCGGUAGAGAAGCUCCAAACAACUUCCAGUGCGCGUAAGUUGAAUGGGUGUUUAUGAUGAACCUAUCUUCUUAUCUUCUUGUUUUAUGUUAAGGUGGUUUUUUUUUUUUUUUUGUAUUUUUCUUGAAUUCGUUUUCAUGCAAAUAUGCAAUAAUGGAUAUAAUGCAUGGGUUUGUGUAUGCAUGUAAUCGGCAAGUUUGUACUCCUUUACUUCAUUGUUCCUCUGUCCCUUCUUUGUAAUUAUUUUUUUUCGAAUUUGAUAUAAUAAUUUCACUUCUUACUAUAAUUAAAUUUUAACAUAAUUAGAAAUGAAAAAAAGCCAUAUUGGAAAAAUAAUAAUUAAGAUGCUUGGAAUCUCGGUGUUUAAUGAACUUGGUGAAUGUGACAUUAGUCAUUAAGUGCUUCUUAAUUUAGUUAAGCCGUGUAAAUGUAAUUGCAACCUCAUUGAAGGUUUCGCUGAUGACCUAGAAGCUGCGGUAUCAUCAUUAACCUUAGCUUGAUCCUCAGCUUCACAUGGCUUCCAAUGCCCUUAAUUUAAAAACAAUUAUUUCUAAAACUUGGUUAAUAGGAAUUAAUUAUAUACAAAUAUUGAAGCUGUUUUCCGGCAGAUCUCACCAAGAUCGAAGUCUAUAUUUGAUCUGAACAGUUUUGUACCUCAAACUAACAAGUGCAAAUUAAGUAAACUAAUCAUUUUCGAAUUAUAUUUUAGGAGAUCUUUUUCUUUUCAAUGUAAGAUUUUCAGCAGAAAUGACUCUUCUAACUUUUUAUCUGAUUUAAUCUAUAUAUAUAUAAAGUUAGCUUUUUCUCUCUUCUCCUUAAGCCACAUCAUCAUCCACCUCAUUUUAUUAUUUAAUUUUUAAAAUUAAUUAUACCAUUUUAUCAUUUAAUUUUAAGAUUUAAACCUAUAUAAACCUAUAUAAAGUUAGCUUUUUCUCUCUUCUCCUUAAGCCACAUCAUCAUCCACCUCAUUUUAUUAUUUAAUUUUUAAAAUUAAUUAUACCAUUUAUCAUUUAAUUUUAAGAUUUAAACCUAUAUAAAUAAAUUUAUCAAAAAUGAAUAUGAAAGGUCUUUUUUAUAGAAAUUUGGUGGUUGUGUCAGGAAAUUUGAUAAUAUUAACUUUAUAUAUAUAGAUUACAUCUUAUCUCAACAGAUAUUAGACUUACUAUAAUGUCAAAUUGUUUCUUAAUUUAUAUUUGAUUUCAAUUUUAAAUCAUUUCCUCUGCUUUCAAUUUUUGACUUGAUUAACCCGUCAGAGUUCAAAAAAAAAAAAUUAGUUUAUAUUAUUGAUCACAUUGGACAUGCUUUCCCUAAAAUUCUUGCAAAGUUGCAAUUGGCCAAAAUUUAAAAUUUAAGUUAGACGAAUUAAUAUGUAUCUUUCUUUUUUUAAGUUAAGUGAAAUAUGAUUUGAUAACUCCAACCAUCUGAGAUGAAAUAAUACAAUAUUAUCACAUGGAAAUGAAAUAAUAAACUAUAUGUCUUCGUCUGACUAAAUGAUGUUUUAGAAAUAAUGGUGACAAAGGUAUUUGUUAAAUAUAUCACAUGGACAAAGCAUGGAGGAAUAAAGAAACUCAUUCCAAUUUCGAUGUGCUUAAUUAACAAAAAUAGAUGUUUAAAUGAAAAUAGCAGGUUUUAGAAAAGAAACCUGUGAUACCUAGAUAUACAUAAUAUUUGCUUAGAUAUAGGUGCUAUACUACUAGCUUUGAUAUAACGUCAAAAAUAACUCACUCCAACUUAUUAUCCCUUGAUGAUGAAGAGUUUUUAGGUUUAACUUGCGAAAGGUGGGAUUUACGAGCUGGUCUGAAUCACUCUCUCGUCAAUCAGGAGGUCGUACAGGGAAUAGAUCAGGUGAGUGACUCGUUUAAUCAGUAGGAUAAAUGACUCACUCGAUCAAUGGACGAAUGAAGGAUGUUGAAUCACUCAACAAACUUAGUUCGCAGAUUUUGUAAGUAUUAAGUGACUCACUCAUAAAGAACUGAAAAACAAGAUUGAAAAGACUCAAACUUUGACAAGAAGAAAAAAUUUCUACUGCUUUGAAAUGAUCAAGGGUGUUUUACAAAUGAACAAUCUAAUGAGCUUAUAUAGGCUCAACUACACGUUCUAGUAGUCUAAAAGAGGUGUAUUCAAAAUGGAAUUUUAAGAGAUUUGAGUUUUUAAAUGAUUAUGAUGAUUUUAGAGAAGUUCAUAUGACUUUUGUAAAAUCCUUUUACAUCUCACCAAAAACCAUGAGAUUUGGAUUUCUGUAUUUUUAACUAAGGAAUUCCUUUCAAAUCUUCUGAAAUCCUUCAAAAUCAUUAAAAGCCAAAUCCACAAAUUGUUUUCAAUAACAGUGGAUUUGAAUGUGGAUUUUGAAAUAAUUAGUUCAAUAACAAUGGAUUUCAUGAGACUUUUUAAAAUUUAUAUUUGAAUAACACUAGAUUAAUAAGUUCUACACAAAUCUCUUAAAAUGCUACUUUGAAUACACCUCCCUAAACCAAGAAACAAAUCGCAUAAAAUUGAAGACACUAGCCGUUGGGAAUUUAUGAACCAAAUCAGCUAAAUAAGGCAAGUAGAAAGAUACCUUGAGUUUUGAAAGCUUUGGUGCGAAAACAUGAUUUCUUAAGGUGUCUAGGUUCAUUUUAGAAAGCUUCAAGAUGUACAUAAGAAAAUAAGGAAGUAGUCGUUGCAGCUUUAUCUCCUUUGGUUCCAUGUAUGAUAAGUAGUGACUCGUCGGUUUCUUGUAUGGUAAGGUGUACUAAAGGUCGUGUUGCACAAGUAUUGUUUGGUCUAAAUAUUUACAUGGUUUCCAUAUCUUAUUAUAUAAACCUUGGUUUUCAAAGUUAGCCAUUAACAAGAUCGUGACACGUGUUAAUUAUAAUUGAUAAGAUAUUGACACAUGUCGUAACUAAUUUUGUUAAUAUUUGGAUAAUAUAGAAAUAUUAUUAACCCUAUCGAAAAAAGAAAUAUAUAAAAUAAAUAUUAUUAAUAAAAUAUACAAAUAACCUAAUUUCAGUUAUGUCAAUUUGGUUUAUCAAUAAGAUAGGGAUUUAAAAUUUAUAAUUAACAAGAAUAUAUGACGAUUUUUGUUUACAGAAGAGAAUUAAGGUUUAAACUUUAAUUUUACGAUUAAAUCAGGUUAUUUGUUGGUUUGGGUAUAUAAAUGAUAAAUAAGAAUUAUGGUUUAUCUUUAUAAAUUAAAAUUAUGGUUGAAGUUUAACAAUUAAACGAGAUUAUAUGUCGAAACUUGGUUUUUAAANNNNNNNNNNNNNNNNNNNNNNNNNNNNNNNNNNNNNNNNNNNNNNNNNNNNNNNNNNNNNNNNNNNNNNNNNNNNNNNNNNNNNNNNNNNNNNNNNNNNUGCAAUAUGGUAUAUCUAAUUUUGUUAAUAUUAAGAUACAAAUAGAUUUUUUAAACAACAUUAAAAAAUAAUUAUAAAAAAUGAAAGAGAAUUUUUGAGAAAUAUCCCUUUUGGUGUAUCACUUUUCAAAAAUACCUCAUUUAUCUAUCCAUUUUCAAAAAUAUCCAUGUUUAAAUAUGAAAAAUUUUAAAGUUUUAUAUGGUUUAUAAGGCACUUUUAUAUAAUAACUACUACUUGGAAAUUUGAUACAAAUAUUUUAUAAUGUUUUAAAAGAUUCUGAAUCGUUUUUACAAGUUUUAUAAGGUUUUUAAGUGGUUUUAAAAAGGGUUUAUAAGGUUUUUAAAAGGUAUUUAUAAGUUAUUUUACGCUAUUUAUGAAAGAUAUAUAAAAAUUUUAACAUAUAUAAAGGUAAUUUGUGUGUAUAUUUAUAAGUUUACACACAUAUUUGGAUAAAUUUUAAUAUUUAUAGUUGUUUUUUUAUAAAGUUUGAAAUAGGGGUAUUUUUAAAAAGUGGUAUGGAAAAAGGAUAUUUUUGAUAAAUUAAAAAGUAAAAAAAUUGAAAUUUAUAUAAAAAAAGCGUAAGCUUAUAUAUUUAGACACAAAUUAUCUUUCUAUUUGUGUAAAUUUUAAAUACCAUAUAAAUACCUUUUAAAAACCUUUUAAAAUUAUUUAAAAAACAUAUAAAAACUUUGUAAAUCUUAUAAAAACCUUAUAAAAGUCUUAUAAAUGCCGUUUAAAACCUUUUUAAAACUUUAUAAAUAUUUGUAUUGAGUCUCCCAAUAGUAAUGAUGAUCUAGAUGUACCUUAUAAACUAUAUAAAAGUUGACAGUUUUUCAUAUUUGAAAAGGGAUAUUUUUAAAAUGGAUAGAAAAUUGGUGUAUUUUUAAAAAGAGGUACACCAAAAGGGGUAUUUCUCAAAAAUUCUCUUUUAACUAUUAACCUAAUUUUUGGUUUUGCGAGUUGUAGGUUUUACAAUUAUAAGGGUUAUAUGUUGAGUUUAUAAAUGUGCAUUAUAGUUUAGAUUUUAUUAUUAAACGAGAUUAUUUAUCGGUUUGGGUUUAUUAAAGAUGAGUGAGAUUUAGGUUUAACAAUUAAACAAGGUUAUUUCUCAGUUUGGGUUCAUAAAGGAGAAUUAGGAUUUACAAUUUACAAAUAAAUUAGAUUUUGAGUUUAACUAAAUUCAUAAUUUUAUUCAUGAUUUCUAUUUUAUAAUAUGUUAUAUUUGUUUAAUUUUUAAUUUAUGUACGAAUGUAUUAUGCCAUUGAGCAAUUUCAUUGUCUAAAACAUAAGGGUGAAUAAAAUAACAAAGUUUAAUAUAAAUCGUAAUAUAGUAAUUUUAAAAUAUUUUUAAAGAAAAUANNNNNNNNNNNNNNNNNNNNNNNNNNNNNNNNNNNNNNNNNNNNNNNNNNNNNNNNNNNNNNNNNNNNNNNNNNNNNNNNNNNNNNNNNNNNNNNNNNNNAAUUCGUAAUUGAAAUUUUUUUUAAUGUUUUCGUCAACGAUGUUGUAAUUUAUUUUAGAAUCUUUAUGUUUAUUUGCGUUGUUUAUAUGAUUUUAUUUACAAAUGACUAUAUUUGUAUUUAACAUCAUAUUUUUGAUUGAUGUUAAUUUGAAAGAACUUUACCAUCAUAUUAAAUAAUAAUUAAUUAAUUUUCAUAGUCUGAGUAUGAUUUUUUGAAAAAUUGAAAGUUAAGAAAUAACAAUUUUUACAAAAUGGUAUAAUCAUGUUUUAGAGGAUAAUUGGUAAAUUAAGAUUUUUUGAAAUAUUUUAGCAAGAUUAUGAGUAAUGGUGAAUAGCUCCCAAAUAGCUCCCAAAUGUUUUGGUGAUUGUCAGUUUGACAUUACUAGAUUUAUAUAAUUAACGUUUUAUAACGAAUUUUAUUAAAUAUAUAUUUCAAACCAAAUAAAAUCUCUUUCCAAAUGAAAUUAAUUUCUCUUAUUUUUUCAAACAAAACUUUUGAAAUUAUAUUUUUAUAAUUUAUAGUAAAUUUUAAUUUUAAUUUAAUUUUAAAUAAAGAUAACCCGUCCAUCGGACGGGUACUAUACUAGUAUAGAUAUAAAAUCUACAUUCGGUCCAAUAUUCAUUUUUUUAUCUUCAAUCGAAUUUUUUAGCUUUUUUAAUAUUUUAAAAUUCUUAUCCAAUAUAAUUAAGAGAACACUAAUACUCUAUUGUUGUAUGUGCGACCCGAUUAUAAUUCGAAAGAAUACCAAUACGUUAUCGUAUUUUGUUUUUAAUGUCUGUAUUUCACUAUGGUAAAGAUUGUACAUGAUUACAAUGCAAAUAAUUAAUCAGAAGCUGGGAUACAAAGUAGUGAAAAAGAAACUGAUUAUCGUUUAAUCGGAGAUUUGGCCAAAAUAUUUGUUGCUUUGUCGUUUGCUCUAUGUAUCUAACAAAAUUUGACUGAUUCAAAUUUUUGUUUCCAAUGUGUGGUUUCUUGAAAUCUAAUUAUAAUAAGAAAAGUUGUGAUUCCUUUUAUGUACAUAGCAUGUCAAUGACUUGUUUAGAGUCUCCUUCGAAUAUUACUCGCUGAUGUCCUUGACUCCAAGUGUGCUGCAUUGCCAUAACCAAUACAUUAUCGUUAUAUAAGUAAAAUAACCUAGAGUUUAGGAUUUAAAGUUAUAGCGAGUUUGCAUCAUGAUUUGUUAACGAAUAUUAUGAAAUGUGAAGCAUGUUUUAUUUCGUAAGAUAUUAUCCUAUUAAAAACUACAAUAAAAUCUCUACAACUUGAUACUCGACAAAUUAAUAAUCUCCAUAAAUUAAUAAUUAAAUGAAAUUAUUAAUAUAUAUAUAUAUAUGUAAUAUUUUUAGUGAAAUAUAAUUAUCAUUAUGUUAAAUAUUCUUAUAUUUACAUUAGUUUUUGUUAGCAUUCAAUUCUAAUAGAUUUCAUGUAUCAAUAAAUUUAUAGUGUUUUAUUCAUUCAUGAUGAUUGUUGUUUUUUGUUGUAAUUGAUUAUAAAAAAAAUAUUGAUUAGAAUGGUUAAAUUUUAUUUUGAGGUAUAUAUAUUUUUAAAUUUACCAAAUUAGGAAAAUAUUGAUAAAUUAAUGAUUUUAUAAAUUAAUAAAAUUUAAUGAUCCUAACAUUAUUAGUUUAUAGAGGUUUUACAGUAUUGCUUAUGUGAAUCAAAUCUUUGGGCAUCCCAAAUAUAUCGGGUCAACUUUCAAAAAGAAAAAUAUACAGCAAAAGUUCAACUUAUGUUUUCAUUUGAUUAUUGUUUAUGAUCGUUGACUUCAUGCCAUUAUUACCUGUCUGUAGUCUUACAGAAAUAUGUUUAUCUGUUUUUGUAAGAAAAUAUAUAUUAUUUAUUUUUAAUGUAUUUACCAAAAAAAUCAUAUAUAAACUAUAUAUUUAUAUAUGUUAAUCUCCUAUAAUCAUAUGAUGAGAUAAAAAAUUAUUACGUUCGUUAAGAAUUAAUUUUUCCUUAAUAAACAUGACGAUGAUCACCAAUUAGUUAAAACUCUUUGAAACCAUAUGGUCAACUUCUUUCAUUUUCACGUUUUAUAGAUAUAUUACGUAGUUAAUUAAAGAGAACAUCACUUUAAAAAAAAUUAUAUAUAUAUAUAUAUAUAUAAUUGACCAAUCAAUCGAUCAAUAUUAUAGAUACGAAUGAUUUUAGCAUGAUGAUUAUCAUAUUAUAACAUUUAAUUUAUUUUAAAGAAUAGAAAUGGCCAAUCAAUUGAUCAAUUUUAUAGAAAAGAAUGAUUUUGGCAUGAUGAUUAUCAUAUUAUAUUAUAUUAGCAUGUUCGACCUUAAUUUAUAAUCCGUAUAUAAUAAAAUAUACACCAUUAGUACACGAAACUAUAUGUUACUUAAUCAGCAAAAUGAUCAAAGUAGUAUGAUCACGUACACUAUAUCAUUACAAUAUAUCAUAGAAAUGUAUUAUCCGAAAGAGAUUGAGAUAAGUCCAAACUAGUAAAUCUAGUUUUUGGAUUUUGUAAACCCAAAAAAAAUCCAAACUAAUAUAUCUGUCCUUCUUGUAACCCUUGUUAUAUACGGAGUGAUUUUAUAAGUCCAACAAUUUAAGAAUACUAAUACAACUAUCACGUGGAAAUGAAGUAAUAAAAUUUGUCUUCGUCUGAGAGACUAAAUGAUAAUGGUGAUAUAAGUAUGCCCCGUUACAAAGGUAUUUGUUGAAGGAUAAUAUUUAUGAGACUUUGCACAAUUAGUUUCCAAAAAUAAGAUUAAUAUAUUUGAUUAUAUUUUUAACACUCGUGAAGUCCCGUACAUACAUUGGUAUAAGUUAUACUGUAUAACUAGGAACUUUGGGAGUUGUCUACUUAAUUAGUUUAGAGGAUCGACUUCAACCAUACCAAAUUUUGUUUUAUGGAUAUAUAAUUUUAUACCAGCAACUAUAGGUUUUUAAUUAAAAUUAGAACCAUAUACUACUAGACAUUACCAGCUCAUUAUAGUGUUCUUUAAUGAUCAAAUCAUAUCAAUAACAAAAUUAGUCAACUAAUCCCCUAGUAACGACAAAUUAGCUAUGAAACCUUCACAAUUCUCUCCUAGUGAAAACCCUAUAAAUACACACUAAACACUUAACCUUUCUCUCCACCCAUCUCAAACAAGCUUAAACGCACUACUACUUCUUGAGCCUUUUCCACUCCACAAAACAAAAUGGCUCCAAGAACCUCCCUUGCACUCUUCCUUUCUCUCAACCUCCUCUUCUUCACUUUCACCUCUGCGACCACAGGUACUUGUCCUAGAGACGCCCUCAAGAUCGGUGUUUGCGUCAGUGUGCUCAACAUAGUGGACCUAACAUUGGGAAACCCACCCGUACAGCCAUGCUGCUCUCUCAUCCAAGGCUUAGCUGACCUUGAGGCUGCUGUCUGCCUUUGCACUGCUCUCAAGGCUAGCGUUCUUGGAAUCAACCUUAACCUUCCCAUCAACCUCAGCGUUCUCCUCAAUGUUUGCGGUAGAAAAGCUCCAACCAACUUCCAGUGCGCUUAAGUUAAAAAUGAAGUUAUGGCAAAAAAAAAAAAAAAAAAAAAAAAAAAAAAAAUCAAUAAUCAACAAUCAAUAAUCAUAUAUACAAUGUAUGAAUAAUAAAUGAAUAAUCAUACAAUGUAUGAAUACUUGAAACCGUUAUCUUAUCUUCUUGUCUUUAUUUUAAGGUGAUUUCUUUUUUUCUUUGCAUUUGUAUUUGUAUUUGUCGUGGAUUGUUGGAAACUAACGUAUGAACGUUCUCAUGCAAUUACCCAAUAUUGGGUUUUGUGUGUAGUCGGCAAGUUUUUUCCUCCUUUGCUUCAUUGUUCCUCCAUCUCUUCUUUGUAAUUGUGUCCUUCGACGUUUAUUAAUAAAAGUAUCCAUCUUUAUGUUUUUUUUGUCUAUAUUGGUUAUCG